This is an RNA transcript of Panicum virgatum (switchgrass), 1756 nucleotides long. It is a transcript of the gene named protein REVEILLE 6-like, with no coding region annotated. The transcript is spliced from 10 exons. Lineage: Eukaryota; Viridiplantae; Streptophyta; Magnoliopsida; Poales; Poaceae. The record is from RefSeq and is a predicted model, not a curated record.
CCCACCCACCCAGCGCCACGACGCCCCCACGCCAACGCCACACCACGCGGACCGCAAGCCGCGCGGCAGCUGCUCGCAGGCUCACAGCCAGCCAGGGCCUCCUCCACCUUCCUCUCCCACUCCUCCCUGCGAGCGAGAACACGACGCGACCGUCACCGCACGUUGAGAGAUCCCCGCCUCUCGGGCCCGCUCCCCCUGCUCGAUGGUCUCCGCCAGCACGCCGCCGCCGCUGCCGCCGCCGUCCGACGCGGCCGGGUCGGGGGAGGACGCCAGCAAGAAGGUGCGGAAGCCGUACACCAUCACCAAGUCGCGGGAGAACUGGACGGAGCAGGAGCACGACAAGUUCCUCGAGGCCCUGCAGCUCUUUGACCGUGACUGGAAGAAGAUAGAGGCUUUUGUUGGCUCCAAGACUGUCAUACAGAUAAGGAGCCAUGCACAGAAGUACUUUUUGAAGGUUCAGAAAAAUGGAACCAGCGAACAUGUCCCACCUCCACGGCCAAAGCGAAAAGCUGCUCAUCCAUAUCCUCAGAAGGCCUCUAAGAAUGAACCAAACUAUGGACUUAAGACAGAUUCAUCUUCCAUCCAUAGGAACUCUGGCAUGAAUGUGACUGUUUCUUCAUGGGCUGUUAGUUCCAUCCCACCAGCCGUUGCCUCGUCGAUGAUGAAAGAAGAUUUGGGUCCUGGAACUCUGGGUCCAAACAAUUUUUGCUCAAGCAGUACUGAAGUCCCUCCAAGGACGUGGCAACCUGGUGAAGCAAAUGAUCAAAUAAAUCAAGUUCCGUCACUUCGCCUUAUGCCGGAUUUUGCGCAAGUGUACAGCUUCUUAGGUAGUGUUUUUGAUCCAAGCACGAGUGGUCAUUUGCAGAAACUUAAGGAGAUGAAUCCAAUUGAUGUUGAAACGGCAUUGUUGUUGAUGAGGAAUCUCUCCAUCAAUUUGACCAGUCCUGAUUUUGAAGAUCAAGUAAGUAGUUCGACAUGUCUUUAGAGGAAGUUGCUGUCCUCAUAUAGCACUUCUGAUGGACUUGAGCUAGGGAGUUCCAGGAGUUCAGCUCUAGCGACGAGUAGACCUUUCAUGUAAGGAUUAAAGGUGAAUAGUACAGCUAGGUCUCUCGGCGUAUAAUUUCAGUUUGACAGACCCUCUGGAUGGUGCUCUGCCGUAGCACCGAUGAGCAAUGAAGGCACUUGCACGGUUGCACCUAUGUGCUUCCUGCGCUUCAGGCCUUCGGCUGAAGAUCGUGUAAAGGUGCAGCCGUGACCUGUGUAGAGAAGGCUUCCGAAAGGUGAGAUUGGCCUGUGGCCUGAUGUGUAUAUAUAAUUUUUGCCCUGAAGCGUGUACCCUUCCUAUCCUAUUGCUACCCCAAAAGCUCGGCCAUAUAGAUUCCUGAAUGCUGCUUUAGUAAUGGAAAGAGCAAUGGGAAUUUUGAGUGUACCGAUUGCUCCCUUAUCCCUCCAUUGAGUUCUGUUACUGAUAUCAGUUCGGUUUUCUGGCUGCCAUCUGGUAUGGAGCUUCUGCCCGAUGUGGCCAUCUCAACCUGAGCAAGCAUGUCUGUGACUUCCACUUGAGGUGAUCAUAGUGCUGUAAAGCGGUUUACCUUCCCCAUUCAAAUGUUUCUUGUUCCUAUGUAUUAUGUAUUUUGCAUCAGGUGUUAGCCCGUGUGUAAGAGGGGGAAAAUUCAAAAUGUAAAGGAGACUUGUGCACUAGCAUUACCAUUUAAAUUCUAUAUGUGUAAAGGCAACCAUCAACAUGUCUUUUCCA